This 629-nucleotide ribosomal RNA is filed under the name Enterococcus hirae. RNAcentral's name for it is "bacterial SSU rRNA". It matches the Rfam family "Bacterial small subunit ribosomal RNA", at positions 68 to 676 of the family's 1533-position model. Lineage: Bacteria; Bacillati; Bacillota; Bacilli; Lactobacillales; Enterococcaceae. The record is from RNAcentral.
UUUCACCGGAGCUUGCUCCACCGGAAAAAGAGGAGUGGCGAACGGGUGAGUAACACGUGGGUAACCUGCCCAUCAGAAGGGGAUAACACUUGGAAACAGGUGCUAAUACCGUAUAACAAUCGAAACCGCAUGGUUUUGAUUUGAAAGGCGCUUUCGGGUGUCGCUGAUGGAUGGACCCGCGGUGCAUUAGCUAGUUGGUGAGGUAACGGCUCACCAAGGCGACGAUGCAUAGCCGACCUGAGAGGGUGAUCGGCCACAUUGGGACUGAGACACGGCCCAAACUCCUACGGGAGGCAGCAGUAGGGAAUCUUCGGCAAUGGACGAAAGUCUGACCGAGCAACGCCGCGUGAGUGAAGAAGGUUUUCGGAUCGUAAAACUCUGUUGUUAGAGAAGAACAAGGAUGAGAGUAACUGUUCAUCCCUUGACGGUAUCUAACCAGAAAGCCACGGCUAACUACGUGCCAGCAGCCGCGGUAAUACGUAGGUGGCAAGCGUUGUCCGGAUUUAUUGGGCGUAAAGCGAGCGCAGGCGGUUUCUUAAGUCUGAUGUGAAAGCCCCCGGCUCAACCGGGGAGGGUCAUUGGAAACUGGGAGACUUGAGUGCAGAAGAGGAGAGUGGAAUUCCAUGGGU